UUGGCAUGACCGACUGGGGUUAUAGGACAGCAACACUGUACAACAGAGACUAGAUGAAGUGUUUGGAAUGACACGCCAAAGAGAGUGAAAGCCUCGUAAUUAAAAAUCAAAGUUGGCAAGCUGAAUCCUGAGUAGCACGGUACACGAGAAAUUCCGUGUGAAUUCGCGAGGACCACCUCGUAAGGCUAAAUACUCACUUGUGACCGAUAGUGAACCAGUACCGCGAGGGAAAGGUGAAAAGAACCCCGGAAGGGGAGUGAAAUAGAACAUGAAACCGUGAGCUUACAAGCAAUGGGAGGACGAUUUAACGUCUGACCGUGUGCCUGUUGAAGAAUGAGCCGGCGACUUAUAGGCAGUGGCAGGUUAAGGGGAAAAUCCCGAAGCCAAAGCGAAAGCGAGUUUGAUAAGAGCGAUAGUCACUGUUUAUAGACCCGAACCCGGGUGAUCUAACCAUGGGCAGGAUGAAGCUUGGG
This 473-nucleotide ribosomal RNA is filed under the name Pseudanabaena sp. CCY0471. Its description in RNAcentral is "bacterial LSU rRNA". It matches the Rfam family "Bacterial large subunit ribosomal RNA", at positions 278 to 756 of the family's 2925-position model. Lineage: Bacteria; Bacillati; Cyanobacteriota; Cyanophyceae; Pseudanabaenales; Pseudanabaenaceae. RNAcentral also lists the same sequence under 3 other names. The record is from RNAcentral.